GUCGUGGUAGUUUAAUAAAACACUAGUCUGUGACACUAGAAAUGAAAUUUUUUUCUCAUGAC
This 62-nucleotide transfer RNA is filed under the name Brookesia stumpffi. RNAcentral describes it as "tRNA-His". It matches the Rfam family "tRNA". From Rfam's summary of the family: Transfer RNA (tRNA) molecules are approximately 80 nucleotides in length. The record is from RNAcentral. Lineage: Eukaryota; Metazoa; Chordata; Lepidosauria; Squamata; Chamaeleonidae.